This 253-nucleotide ribosomal RNA is filed under the name uncultured bacterium. RNAcentral's name for it is "partial 16S ribosomal RNA". It matches the Rfam family "Bacterial small subunit ribosomal RNA", at positions 524 to 776 of the family's 1533-position model. The record is from RNAcentral.
GACGGAGGAUGCAAGCGUUAUCCGGAAUUAUUGGGCGUAAAGGGUGCGUAGGUGGUCGGAAAAGUCCCAUGUCAAAGCAUGGUGCUUAACGCCAUAAAGGAGUGGGAAACUGUCGGACUAGAGUACAGCAGGGGCAGGAGGAAUUCCCGGUGUAGCGGUGAAAUGCGUAGAGAUCGGGAAGAACACCAGUGGCGCAAGCGUUCUGCUGGGCUGUAACUGACACUGAGGCACGAAAGCUAGGGGAGCGAAAGGG